Molecule: long non-coding RNA, 1422 nt
Organism: Callithrix jacchus (white-tufted-ear marmoset)
Lineage: Eukaryota; Metazoa; Chordata; Mammalia; Primates; Cebidae
Source: RefSeq, a predicted model, not a curated record
GCCCACCCCAGAUAAAGAUUUUCAGUAUUUAUUUGUUUGGGUUCUGCUUAUAUGUACCCCUCUUCAUCACCAAAGAUUUGAGGCUACUGAAAAUGAAAACUGAAAUGGCAAUAAAAGAGAGGGGGUUGCAGAGAGGACACAGGACGGGGAAAAUAGAAAUAAUCGCAGAAAAUUAUGACCUGAUGAAGAGCACAAUCACAGAAGCGGUGAGAGAUGGCAAAGUUGCCAGAGGGCUGCUUGCGUGUCCUUACAAUAUGGUGACUCUACCUUCCCUCAGAAAGAGUGAUCCAAGAGAAAUCAAGGACAUGCCCCUGCCUCCUGGGAGACAGGGAGUGCUAUGAUAACCGAAGGAGGGCACAGUGUCCCCUUGCAGGAGCCGCUUUUGAUCCUGCCAGGACAAUCAAUCCUUCAAGAGCAGCAAGGCCCUGUAGGUACAGGAAGAGAGUGACCCUCAGAUCCCUUCCCUUUGCCCUAAUCGGGGCCACAUAGUAUACCAGAGACCUCAGGGGUAGUGACCCCAGAUGUUCUCAGAGGACUUCUAACCUUUGAACUUGGGGAUGGACAUAGGGGUAUGGCUAGCACUGCAGCCUGGCCCACAUGGCUGAGCCACCACACCCAGCCUAAAAUGGUAUCUUUUCUCCUUCUCCUCCUUCGUCUUCAAUUUCUUCUUGAAACAGCAUCUCACUCUGUCAUCCAGGCUGGAAUGACAUGGGUGCUGGUCAGCACACCUAUGGGGCACUAACCCAGGCCCACAGAGGAGUCCUUUACUUCCAAGUCACCUGAGGAUCCAGUGGUGACCAGGGAGACUCUGACCUGAAACUGUGCUGGCUCUGGGGGACUGUUGGAUAAGCCAAUGUGGGCCAGGCAGGAGUUCAAACACACUUCCCUGGUGCCCACAGGGACUCCCAGCACACGCUCUCCUAUGGGUGUCAAUGAUUCAGUCUUUCUUGGUGGCAUAGGAUAUAGCCUGGAGAAGCUCUGGGGAAUAUUUCUUUUCUUACUUAUUUCUGGUUUUAAAAGUAAUACUCAGGAUGACUAUUGUUAAAAACAAAAUAAAAAGAAACCAGAAAAUAACAGAAAACAACAAGCGUUGGAGAGGCUGUGAAGAAACUGGAAGCCUGGGCGUCACCAGUGGGAAGGUGAAAUGCUGCCGUUACUAUAAACAACAGUUUGGUGUUUCCUCCAAAACGUAAAUAUAGAAUUACCAUGUGACCUGGCAAUUCCACUUCUGGAUAUAUGCUCAGAAAAACUGAAAGCAAGGACUGGAACAGAUAUGUGUACACCCACGUUCAUAGCAGCAGUUUUCACAAUUGCUUAAUGGAUAGAGUUUUCUGUUUGGGAUGAUGAAAAAAUUUUCAGAAAUAGUGGUGGUGGUGUUUGCACAACAUUGUAAAUGUGAUUAAUGCCCCACCUAUAAAUAGU